CCCUUAGAUGUUCUGGGCCGCACGCGCGCUACACUGAUGCACUCAACGAGUCUCCACCUUGACCGAAAGGUCCGGGAAACCUUCGAACUUGCAUCGUGAUGGGGAUAGAUUAUUGCAACUAUUAAUCUUCAACGAGGAAUACCUAGUAGGCGCAUGUCAUCAGCGUGCGUCGAUUACGUCCCUGCCCUUUGUACACACCGCCCGUCGCUACUACCGAUUGAAUGAUUUAGUGAGGACUUCGGACUGGGACCGAUGCGGCUUUCGGGCUGCGUCGGUAUUCUGGAAAGAUGUCCAAACUGUAUCAUUUAGAGGAAGUAAAAGUCGUAACA
This 329-nucleotide ribosomal RNA is filed under the name uncultured eukaryote. RNAcentral's name for it is "partial 18S ribosomal RNA". It matches the Rfam family "Eukaryotic small subunit ribosomal RNA", at positions 1470 to 1796 of the family's 1831-position model. The record is from RNAcentral.